UCCACCGUGAGGGGAAUCUGAAGGAAUCUGGAGGCAAACUUCUGGUAUGAGAAACAGAAACUAAAUGUGUGGACUGUACUUCAACUGAAAGAGUAUGCAAUAGUAUUUCUAUCAUUGAGAGACAAUCUGUAAAAGGUAGAAUUAAGGUGUUUAUU
Molecule: non-coding RNA, 155 nt
Organism: Clostridium amylolyticum
Lineage: Bacteria; Bacillati; Bacillota; Clostridia; Eubacteriales; Clostridiaceae
Source: Rfam